This is a long non-coding RNA of Heterocephalus glaber (naked mole-rat), 540 nucleotides long. The record is from Ensembl. NCBI's taxonomy places the organism in Eukaryota, Metazoa, Chordata, Mammalia, Rodentia, Bathyergidae.
CUGAAAUGGCCACAGUUUUGCCCUUGGGUCGUCCACCUCAGGAAAAUGGAACAAACCAUAAAUACUGGAGCUCCGCUCACAGCCCAUUUGGUCUGCUUCCAGGGGUCUCAUCACGUGCCGAUUAAGCUGAGAAGCAGCAGACACCAGCUGAGGUCAGGAAGAGGAUUUAUCAGGUCCCACGGCUUCCAGUACUGGAGUCAUUUCUCUCACUUGGUCUCACCAUUGCAGAAUCUGUAUCUUUGUUCUUUUAUGUCUGCUUAGAGAGAAACCAACCCACCCUGUACUCUAUGAGAAACACAAGACAGAUUCCUCCUGAGUCAAGUCAAGAUGAAAUGAAUUCUUUAUUUUGAGAUCUCCCAUGUAAAAUACUGUAGGAUGAUUGGCAGCAGCAAACAAGCAGGAAAACAAAGACUGUUAAAAUUAAGAUUCUAAAAUAAACUGAAGAGAUUUUUUUAAAGUAUAAAAAUAAACUUUAAUAACUUUUCUCUCUUCACACAGCCACAUCCAUGAGGAUGCCAGUUUGGUCUUUCUUAAUAGUUG